UAGGGAAUCUUCGGCAAUGGGGGGAACCCUGACCGAGCAACGCCGCGUGAGUGAAGAAGGUUUUCGGAUCGUAAAGCUCUGUUGUUAAGGAAGAACGAGUGUGAGAAUGGAAAGUUCAUACUGUGACGGUACUUAACCAGAAAGGGACGGCUAACUACGUGCCAGCAGCCGCGGUAAUACGUAGGUGGCAAGCGUUAUCCGGAAUUAUUGGGCGUAAAGCGCGCGUAGGCGGUUUUUUAAGUCUGAUGUGAAAGCCCACGGCUCAACCGUGGAGGGUCAUUGGAAACUGGAAAACUUGAGUGCAGAAGAGGAAAGUGGAAUUCCAUGUGUAGCGGUGAAAUGCGCAGAGAUAUGGAGGAACACCAGUGGCGAAGGCGACUUUCUGGUCUGUAACUGACGCGGAUGUGCGAAAGCGUGGGGAUCAAACAGG
Molecule: ribosomal RNA, 430 nt
Filed under: Bacteroidota bacterium
Lineage: Bacteria; Pseudomonadati; Bacteroidota
Description: Bacteroidetes bacterium partial 16S ribosomal RNA
Rfam family: Bacterial small subunit ribosomal RNA
Source: RNAcentral